UACACACCGCCCGUCACACCACGAAAGCCUGUUGUACCCGAAGCUGGUGAGCUAACCGCAAGGAAGCAGCCAUCUAAGGUAUGGCCGGUAAUUGGGGUG
This 99-nucleotide ribosomal RNA is filed under the name uncultured bacterium. RNAcentral describes it as "partial 16S ribosomal RNA". It matches the Rfam family "Bacterial small subunit ribosomal RNA", at positions 1384 to 1482 of the family's 1533-position model. The record is from RNAcentral.